CGACACGCGAAUUCUAUCCUCAAGCAUUAAGUUUUCCACUCUUUGAUAUGCCUUCCGAUACAUCCACACAUCCCUGGAGCGGCGCAUCACGAUUUUGGUCUGCCAUUGGGAAGCGAUAACCAUCAACAAAAGGAUGGGAAAGGCGGAGAAGACCCGUGAAUUAUCGCCUUCUAUAGUCCGUUGACAAUAAUAUAUAAUAUAACGCCGGUCUCCCCCUCAAGCCCACCAUUUUCUUCCACAGGAUUAAGGAUCUGGAGGCAGAACUUGACGAUCUAUAUGGAGAAAGAAGAUGAUAACGCAAUGUGGGGGAGGUGAUGGUAAGGGGAUAAGGCGUCGAGAAAAUGGAAGCUGAUUAUAGAUAUGAUCGGUUGGCAUUAAGACGAUGAACCCUUCUCCCUCCUCUUUUUAUUUCGCUUUCUCUCUUUCCGUUUUCCAGCUUCCCCCUCCGCAUCUCCUGUGUCAGCCGUUCCUUGCCCUGUCUCACUCCAUGGCCACCAGCUGGAUGUCGCAUUUGCCAUUCUUUUUACAAUAUUGUUUCUUUCGACUUCCACUUCUUCGACCUCCUCAUUGUGCCCGGCUUCCAACCGUCGAAGAUAGCCGUUGUACUGCACAGCAAGGAACCACAAAACCGACAUGAUGAAUCCGGUAGUUCCUCUAUCAAGUACAUCAAUAUCCAAUCUCUUUCCUUGCUCCGACACAAUACGGUAUCAGAAGCACUCACAGCCAAUAAACAUCGACACCUUGUACAGUCUUCACAUCUCCUUCCGACUUGAGUCUAUGUGCCACCAUGAUAUCGGAGAUCAUCACGAUACAAGGGAAAAGUGGGCCGAAUAUGGGGACGAGUGUGCCGUACUUCAUAGUAAAUGGGGCGGAGGGGAAGUGCGACAGGGCGGAAGCAAAGCAAGAGGUUAGGAAGAAUAUUGCUGCGGCUGUUUAGUGUUCAGGAUCAUUGGAUGAGCAACCGAGAGUCAGUGCUACAUGUAAAAAGGAUAAAGGGAAUGAGAAACGUACAGACGAUGUGGAAGAUGAGAAGGCUACGAAUAGAUCCCCAAUACGGAGGGUUUACCUGGCCAGCAGACGAACAUCUGUAAGGCAAUAAUCGUCAACACGACUUUCGCCGUCAUCUCUUCCUCUAGCGAUCCCUCUCAACCGGAAGGAAGAAAAAAAAAAGAGAAAACGCGUACUCGGUCCCAUAUUGACAAUUUCCCAACGCCCCAAUGUCCCAAGCCCCCUCAUUUCCUUCAUAUUCGAUAUUUACCCAGUAGAAACCGGUCUUAUUUCCAGAGACCCCUGGUAAAACGAGGAAAAGAACUGUCGAAGUCGCGAAGAGGAGGACAAGAAGCCGGAUGAUGAUGAUGAGGUACUGAGAAGGUAGGGUUAAGAGGCAUGAAUACGAUCGACACAUGCUUUGAGCAUGACUCUGCUAGGUGUUUCUGCCGGAAA
RNAcentral lists this small RNA (1443 nucleotides) under Cryptococcus neoformans H99. RNAcentral describes it as "Cryptococcus neoformans var. grubii H99 hypothetical RNA". The record is from RNAcentral. Lineage: Eukaryota; Fungi; Basidiomycota; Tremellomycetes; Tremellales; Cryptococcaceae.